Molecule: ribosomal RNA, 373 nt
Filed under: uncultured organism
Description: partial 16S ribosomal RNA
Rfam family: Bacterial small subunit ribosomal RNA
Source: RNAcentral
GUAGGUGGCAAGCGUUGUCCGGAAUUAUUGGGCGUAAAGCGCGCGCAGGUGGUUCUUUAAGUCUGAUGUGAAAGCCCCCGGCUCAACCGGGGAGGGUCAUUGGAAACUGGGGAACUUGAGUGCAGGAGAGGAAAGUGGAAUUCCACGUGUAGCGGUGAAAUGCGUAGAUAUGUGGAGGAACACCAGUGGCGAAGGCGACUUUCUGGCCUGUAACUGACACUGAGGCGCGAAAGCGUGGGGAGCAAACAGGGAUUAGAUACCCUGGUAGUCCACGCCGUAAACGAUGAGUGCUAAGUAUUGGGGGGGUUUCCCGCCCCUCAGUGCUGCAGCUAACGCAUUAAGCACUCCGCCUGGGGAUACGGUCGCAAGACUG